AACAUCGCGCACCUGCGGGAACCUGCGGAAGGAUCAUUACACAAUAAACAUAUGAAGGCUGCACCGCCAACAGGCGGCAAGGCUGGAGUAUUUUAUUACCCUUGUCUUUUGCGCACUUGUUGUUUCCUGGGCGGGUUCGCCCGCCUCCAGGACCACAUGAUAAACCUUUUUUAUGCAGUUGCAAUCAGCGUCAGUACAACAAAUGUAAAUCAUUUACAACUUUCAACAAUGGAUCUCAGA
Molecule: unclassified non-coding RNA, 240 nt
Filed under: soil metagenome
Description: partial contains 5.8S ribosomal RNA, internal transcribed spacer 2, and large subunit ribosomal RNA
Source: RNAcentral